GGAGGAGGGAGGGAGUUGAUUUGAGGGAUUAGCUGAUGGAGGAAGGAGCUUAUUUGAUGAAGGAAGGGGGGUUAUUUGAUGGCGGAAGGAGGGUAUUUGAUGAAGAGAGUUAUUUGAUGAAAGGAGGAGGUUAUUUGAUGAAGGGAGGAGGUUAUUUGAUGGAGGAAGGGGGUUAUUUGAUGAAGGGAGGGGGUUAUUUGAUGAAGGGAGGAGGGUAUUUGAUGGAGGGAGGAGGUUAUUUGAUGAAGGAAGGAGGUUAUUUGAUGAAGGAAGGAAGGAAGGUUAUUUGAUGGAAGAAGAUGGGUUAUUUGAUGGAGGAAGGGGGUUAUUUGAUGAAGGGAGGAGGUUAUUUGAUGGAGGGAGGAGGUUAUUUGAUGGAGGGAGGAGGUUAUUUGAUGGAGGGAGGAGGGUAUUUGAUGAAGAGAGUUAUUUGAUGGAAGAAGAGGGAUUAUUUG
Long non-coding RNA from Leucoraja erinaceus (little skate), 455 nucleotides. RefSeq lists it as uncharacterized. The transcript is spliced from 3 exons. The record is from RefSeq and is a predicted model, not a curated record. NCBI's taxonomy places the organism in Eukaryota, Metazoa, Chordata, Chondrichthyes, Rajiformes, Rajidae.